This is a non-coding RNA of Pelobates cultripes (western spadefoot toad), 167 nucleotides long. NCBI's taxonomy places the organism in Eukaryota, Metazoa, Chordata, Amphibia, Anura, Pelobatidae. The record is from the annotation of a GenBank genome assembly.
GCAGACACAUUCCAGCCAAUCAGCAGCAGACCCUCCCUCCCAGACCCUCCCACCUCCUGGACAGCUCACUAAGAAUGCAGCUUCACAAUGAAUGUAAAAUGGAUGCUGUCCAGGAGGUGGGAGGGUCUGGGAGGGAGGGUCUGCUGCUGAUUGGCUGGAAUGCUGAU